Non-coding RNA from Mus caroli (Ryukyu mouse), 745 nucleotides. Lineage: Eukaryota; Metazoa; Chordata; Mammalia; Rodentia; Muridae. The record is from RefSeq and is a predicted model, not a curated record.
GCCUGGAGUGGCUUGCCUGCUUUCCUCACAAUGGACUGAGAUGAGACGAUCUCCCUGCAAUUGCACUGACUCUUUGAGCCUCCAUGAAAUGAGAGAAAAUCCUCAUUCCAAAUAUCACAAAAUGAAGCUGAGGUCAGGCCCUAAGUUUAACUGGAGUGGGUACCUUUGUAAAGAGUUGACCUGGGAUUGGCUGCACUUGAGUUUGUUGUUCCAGAUGGCAUCAAUCUUAUCCUUCUUUCAGGGAAUACUGAGCCUUCAUUGCUUCUGAAGCAACAAGCCUGAAGUUGACCAAAGAUAACAAGUUUUAUUCCUGGCCCUCUGAGGACUCCACAGAGAUGAUCAUCCAUCUGCACAGGUGCUCCAAACCACCAGUUGUGUGCUGGGUUUUGCUAUAGACUGUGUUUUACCAGGACACUGUGUGGAAAUAAGUAGCUGCAGUUAUCGGUAUUUCCACAACAUUGGACCUAACAACACCCUGCCAUGGAAAGGAUAUUAUCCAGGAAACAACCAGACCCCCCAGUGCUGGCUCUCUGUGACUUCUGAUUCUACUCUGUUACUGUAUCCAUUCAUUAUUUCAGAAGAUUGUACCUUGGUCACUGUUGCCUACAUAUCCAUCAGCUGACUGCUCUGGCAAUGUACAAUUGACAAGAGUCAGCAGAGGGGCAUACAAUGGUGAAUGUAUUAAAGAAAAGAAAAUCACACUGUUGGGCAUUUGGGUUGGGCAAUCUUAAUAAAAUAACCAUGG